RNAcentral lists this ribosomal RNA (430 nucleotides) under uncultured bacterium. RNAcentral's name for it is "bacterial SSU rRNA". It matches the Rfam family "Bacterial small subunit ribosomal RNA", at positions 917 to 1344 of the family's 1533-position model. The record is from RNAcentral.
GGACCCGCACAAGUAGUGGAGCAUGUGGUUUAAUUCGAAGAUACGCGCAGAACCUUACCAACACUUGACAUGUUCGUCGCGACUCUAAGAGAUUAGAGUUUUCGGUUCGGCCGGACGAAACACAGGUGCUGCAUGGCUGUCGUCAGCUCGUGUCGUGAGAUGUUGGGUUAAGUCCCGCAACGAGCGCAACCCUCACUUUUAGUUGCCAUCAUUAAGUUGGGCACUCUGAAAGAACUGCCAGUGAUAAGCUGGAGGAAGGUGGGGAUGACGUCAAGUCCUCAUGGCCCUUACGUGUUGGGCUACACACGUGCUACAAUGGCAAGUACAACGAGUCGCAAUACCGCGAGGUGGAGCAAAUCUCUUAAAGCUUGUCUCAGUUCGGAUAGGAGUCUGCAACUCGACUCCUUGAAGUUGGAGUCGCUAGUAAUCG